Molecule: non-coding RNA, 110 nt
Organism: Sturnus vulgaris (Common starling)
Lineage: Eukaryota; Metazoa; Chordata; Aves; Passeriformes; Sturnidae
Source: RefSeq, a predicted model, not a curated record
GAGCUCUCAGAGUAAAAGUCUUGUUCAAGACCUUGUGGGCACACAUAUCGAGAAAGCAAGAGAAUUACAGCCUGAAAAAUAUUCCAGGCUGGAGCUUUUCAGCUCUGUUC